This 384-nucleotide long non-coding RNA is filed under the name Nicotiana tabacum (common tobacco). Its description in RNAcentral is "long non-coding RNA (NTAB_LNC002743)". Lineage: Eukaryota; Viridiplantae; Streptophyta; Magnoliopsida; Solanales; Solanaceae. The record is from RNAcentral.
AUUUGCCCCUUCAGCUGGUACUGAUAUCUACUUCAACUCUGAUGUAGCAAGUAACUCUUUUGACUGCUCUGAUUUUGGUUGGGGAGAGCCGUGUGCCAGGACUCCGGAGAUAUCAUCCGUUCUGUCAGCUGCUAUUGAAAGCAAUGAAUCUCAACUUGUUGAAGACGAUGCCAGUCCAAUGAAAAACCUGAAAUCAAGCCCCAUUAAUCCAGUAGCUAAUGAUGGAAAUACCGCGAACAAGCUGUCUGAAGAGCUUUCAGCUUUUGAAUCCCAGAUGAAGUUCCUUCAGAUCCCAUAUCUGGAGGGAAAUUGGGAUGCAUCAGUUGAUACUUUCCUCAACUCAAGUGCAACUCAGGAUGGUGAAAAUGCUAUGGACUUAUGGUC